Molecule: non-coding RNA, 25 nt
Filed under: Cricetulus griseus (Chinese hamster)
Lineage: Eukaryota; Metazoa; Chordata; Mammalia; Rodentia; Cricetidae
Source: RNAcentral
AACAAACGGACGAGGACGAGGACAA